Molecule: long non-coding RNA, 232 nt
Filed under: Elaeis guineensis (African oil palm)
Lineage: Eukaryota; Viridiplantae; Streptophyta; Magnoliopsida; Arecales; Arecaceae
Description: long non-coding RNA (EGUI_LNC065023)
Source: RNAcentral
ACUGCUCUACCAUAUAGAGUAAAGAUAUACCCUAAAAUAGACUUGCUAUUAUCUAAGUCUGAUUAAAAACUAGAGUCAGAAUAUCAUUUUAGUUUCAACUUAGAUCUACUAUAUAUUAGAAAAUAUUUUUAGCCCUUUUCAAGUACUUAAGAAUAUUUUUCAUCACUUUUUAAUGAUCCUCUUCUGGAUCGGCUUGAAAUCUACUGACUAUGCCCAAGACAUAGGCAACAUC